RNAcentral lists this ribosomal RNA (501 nucleotides) under uncultured Pseudomonadales bacterium. Its description in RNAcentral is "bacterial SSU rRNA". It matches the Rfam family "Bacterial small subunit ribosomal RNA", at positions 30 to 523 of the family's 1533-position model. Lineage: Bacteria; Pseudomonadati; Pseudomonadota; Gammaproteobacteria; Pseudomonadales. The record is from RNAcentral.
AUUGAACGCUGGCGGCAGGCUUAACACAUGCAAGUCGAGCGGGGUGAAGUACUUCGGUACUGAUCCUAGCGGCGGACGGGUGAGUAAUGCUUAGGAAUCUGCCUAUUAGUGGGGGACAACAUUCCGAAAGGAAUGCUAAUACCGCAUACGUCCUACGGGAGAAAGCAGGGGAUCUUCGGACCUUGCGCUAAUAGAUGAGCCUAAGUCGGAUUAGCUAGUUGGUGGGGUAAAGGCCUACCAAGGCGACGAUCUGUAGCGGGUCUGAGAGGAUGAUCCGCCACACUGGGACUGAGACACGGCCCAGACUCCUACGGGAGGCAGCAGUAGGGAAUCUUCGGCAAUGGACGGAAGUCUGACCGAGCAACGCCGCGUGAGUGAAGAAGGUUUUCGGAUCGUAAAGCUCUGUUGUAAGAGAAGAACGAGUGUGAGAGUGGAAAGUUCACACUGUGACGGUAUCUUACCAGAAAGGGACGGCUAACUACGUGCCAGCAGCCGCGGUAA